CCCCACUGGACAGAGGGGCUGCUUGGGACAGAGGGGCAGCUCGGGAUAGAGGUGGGGCAGCUGCUCGGGACAGAGGGACAGCUCGGGACAGAGGUGGGGCAGCUGCUCGGGACAGAGGUGGGGCAGCUGCUCGGGACAGAGGGACAGCUGCUCGGGACAGAGGUGCGGCAGCGGCUCUGGGCAGAGGGGCUCCGGCAGCGGCGCCGGACAGGCGGGAGACUCCGGCAGCGGCGCCGGACAGGCGGGAGACUCCGGCAGCCGCGCCGGACAGGCGGGAGACUCCGGCAGCCGCGCCGGACAGGCGGGAGACUCCGGCAGCCGCGCCGGACAGGCGGGAGACUCCGGCAGCCGCGCCGGACAGGCGGGAGACUCCGGCAGCCGCGCCGGACAGGCGGGAGACUCCGGCAGCCGCGCCGGACAGACAGGACCACCUGCAGGGAGGAGACAGAGAGACAGCCUGGUGCGUGGGGCUGCCACAGGAACCACCAGGCUGGGGAGACCUUCAGGAGGCUUGGGGUUAGGAGGAGGCACCUGAAGGACCGGGCUGUGGGGGAGCACUGGAGCUCUGGUGCGCAACCUUGGCACCACUUCCCCAGGCUGGAUAACCACUCUAGCCCGGACCCUCCAGAGUGCAGGCACAGGUUGAACCGGGCUUUGGGUAAGCACGGGAGAUCUAGUGCUUACUACACGCACCUCUCCCUUAGGCUCCACUCCCACAUUCGCCCGGCACGAGCGGAGUGCAGGCAGAGGACGCACUGCACCCUCCCAGCGCCCCGGAGACACAGCACGCAGAGCCGGCGCAGGAUACCCUGGACCAAAACUGCGUACCGGCGACCAGACCCGCUGAGCAGGCACCAUACGCCCUGGCUCGAUGCCCGCACUCGCAUGACACUCUCGGGGGGCUGUCCUAUAGCGCACCGGGCUAUGGACACGUACUGGCGACACCGUGCGCUUAACCGCAUAACACGGUGCCUGCCCAGUAUCACGCUGCUUAUAAUAAGCACGAGGAGUGAGCGCAGGUCUGCUACCUGGCUUAGCUCCACCCCUCGUGUGCCCCCCCCCCAAAAAAUGUUGGGGCUGUCUCUCGUACUGCCGUGCUGCCUCCUCAUAUCGCCGCCGCUCAGCUUUCGCUGCCUCCAGCUCUGCUUUGGGGCGGCGAUAUUCCCCAGCCUGUGCCCAGGGUCCCUCUCCGUUCAGUAUCUCCUCCCAUGUCCAGGAGUCCUGUGA
This 1227-nucleotide long non-coding RNA is filed under the name Oncorhynchus mykiss (rainbow trout). Its description in RNAcentral is "lncRNA (ENSOMYG00000047025.2)". Lineage: Eukaryota; Metazoa; Chordata; Actinopteri; Salmoniformes; Salmonidae. The record is from RNAcentral.